AUCCAGCUGACGAGUCCCAAAUAGGACCAAAUGCGCGUCCUGGAU
Molecule: non-coding RNA, 45 nt
Filed under: Schistosoma mansoni
Lineage: Eukaryota; Metazoa; Platyhelminthes; Trematoda; Strigeidida; Schistosomatidae
Source: RNAcentral